UUUGCCUCUCGCGUGCGCGCAGACGCGCUGCGCGGCCCAGAUCCCGCCGCUCCGCCAGUUUGGAGGCUGCGCCGCGGCUCUCUCUGCCCCCUCGCCCCCGAGCCUUAAGGACGUUGCGGGGGUGGGGCGGAACCGAUUUUUCUUUCUUGUGGUAGAAUUCUGGAGACGGCCCCGUUCCCAGCCAGAGUCCGCUCAGACUGCGUGAGCGCCGGGGCAAGAAAUAAAUCCAUGGAGAGAUCCUGAAGGACUAUUCUUGUCAUGAGGCCUGAAACUCAUUCCUGAAGAAGAAUGCAGGAGCCAUCUCUCAGAAGUAAAGGUCUAAAUCAGUGAUUUCCAAACAUUAUUCUAGAAAUGAUAAACAGGAAUUUUUCAUCAUGGGAUGAGAGAAAAAUAAGCUCUUCAAAAGGCUAAAUGUAUUUAAUUCAAAGGACUGUCUUCUAGGCUGAGAUUAUAUCCUUCAAACUUUUGAGGUUUUAAAGUGACUUUUCUUUUAUAACGUGAUAAGCCUUGUCCAUCCCCAUCACCAGGCCAUGACUGCUCACCUACCUGCUCUCUAAUGCACAUGUGCUCAGCACUGUUUGCCUCAGUCAUCAGCUCCACUCUGCAAGGACCAUGGUGGGCCCCACAGAUGUUCUGGAGGCUGUCUUCCCAGACUUCUCUCCAUCACAUCUCAGGCAGAGCACUACAAAGUGAGGAACCUACAGCCUUUUACCAGAGCAAGAAGUUUCUCUAAAACAUAUGCUGGCUUGUUCAAGAAGAUCCUGCUGGGCCUGUUUGGGACUCUCAUAGAAGCUGGAAGGUGGUUCAGAGAGAAGAGCAAAUGAGAGAGAACAAUGGGGGCUUAGCAAUAGCCCAGGCAGUGGAUGAGAUCCUGAGCUGAAGUAAACAGGAAUGCCAAAAUGAUGUGCCAGGUUUGAGGUCCCACAGCAAUACCCACCAAGGAGUUCAACAUGUUGAUCUGGAGAGAGAUCUGAACCCUCAUGGAGGUGGGAGCAGAAGCUGUGAGAAGAACUAAGAGAAAAGGGCCAAAGUGAAAUUCUGCUGAACCCGAACAUCACAGACAGUGAAGGAAGAGAUUUCGGAGGUCUGGAGUGAGCUACAAUGAAAGCAGUUAUAGAGGAAAAUGGGAGCAAAAGCCAGCCUACAGAAGGUGAGGAGUGAAACCCCGUCAGACCUGCAAAUACCCUUGCUUUACCUUCACCUCCACAGUGAACGGUGGAACACAGGCGUUUUCUGCUCUGCCCACUAUCACUUCCUCUAAGGGGUCCCAUUCAUUGUAAGAGGAGACAGGGCAGUCCUUGGGCAGAGGAUCAGUGGCCUUAUCGUCAGCUGCACAGGAAUUCCGGGAGGAAGCAGUAGCUGCCUGGGUGCUCUGGAAAGUUCGCUGCACCCAUCCUGUUAAGGUUCUUCCAAGCUUCCAAGAACAACAAAAAAAGAUUAUUUUACAGUCCUACAAAGUACUUGUGGGGAGGAGGAGGUACAGGUGGAGAGAAACCCAACAUAACAUAGACAUUUACAAUCCUUUAGAAGAAUGUAAAUCAAGAUGUUAGUAAGUAAGUGGGUAGUGGGGCUAUAGUUUUACCUUCUUGUUUUUUUUUUAUAAAUUACCUUGUCUAUAUGUUCAUUAGCUAGCUUGUUAAAGCUCCUCAGAAGAUUUUGUCCCCAGUGACCACCUCCAUUUAUAUCUCAGAAUGGUUUUCUACAAUCAAGUUUUAAUCAAGCUUUAAGCAACCCUUCCAUGGAUGAUGGAUCAUCCUGUUCCUAGAAAACCACAGAACGCUGCUCCAUAUCUCCCUGCCAAGUCCAGCUGGAGGAAGAAGCCUCCUUUCCUUUUCAGUAUUAAAAGUCACCAAAAAAAAAAAAAAAAAAGUUACCAAUAUUAGACUUUUUUUCCCCAAAUAAAAAUGUAGAUGCAUA
Long non-coding RNA from Canis lupus familiaris (dog), 1917 nucleotides. RefSeq lists it as uncharacterized. The transcript is spliced from 7 exons. NCBI's taxonomy places the organism in Eukaryota, Metazoa, Chordata, Mammalia, Carnivora, Canidae. The record is from RefSeq and is a predicted model, not a curated record.